This 467-nucleotide ribosomal RNA is filed under the name uncultured bacterium. RNAcentral describes it as "partial 16S ribosomal RNA". It matches the Rfam family "Bacterial small subunit ribosomal RNA", at positions 29 to 507 of the family's 1533-position model. The record is from RNAcentral.
ACGAACGCUGGCGGCGUGCUUAACCCAUGCCAGUCGAACGGAAAGACCCUGCUUUUGUGGGGUGCUCGAGUGGCGAACGGGUGAGUAACACGUGAGUAACCUGCCCUUGACUUUGGGAUAACUUCAGGAAACUGGGGCUAAUACCGGAUAGGAGCUCCUGCUGCAUGGUGGGGGUUGGAAAGUUUCGGCGGUUGGGGAUGGACUCGCGGCUUAUCAGCUUGUUGGUGGGGUAGUGGCUUACCAAGGCUUUGACGGGUAGCCGGCCUGAGAGGGUGACCGGCCACAUUGGGACUGAGAUACGGCCCAGACUCCUACGGGAGGCAGCAGUGGGGAAUAUUGCACAAUGGGCGGAAGCCUGAUGCAGCAACGCCGCGUGCGGGAUGACGGCCUUCGGGUUGUAAACCGCUUUCGCCUGUGACGAAGCGUGAGUGACGGUAAUGGGUAAAGAAGCACCGGCUAACUACGUG